GACGAACGCUGGCGGCGUGCUUAACACAUGCAAGUCGAACGAGGCUCCACCUUCGGGUGGUGUUCUAGUGGCGAACGGGUGAGUAACACGUGGGCAACCUGCCCUCAGCUCUGGGAUAACUCCGGGAAACCGGGGCUAAUACCGGAUAUGACCACUCUUGGCAUCUUGGGUGGUGGAAAGUUUUUCGGCUGAGGAUGGGCCCGCGGCCUAUCAGCUUGUUGGUGGGGUGAUGGCCUACCAAGGCGACGACGGGUAGCCGGCCUGAGAGGGUGACCGGCCACACUGGGACUGAGACACGGCCCAGACUCCUACGGGAGGCAGCAGUGGGGAAUAUUGCGCAAUGGGCGGAAGCCUGACGCAGCGACGCCGCGUGAGGGACGAAGGCCUUCGGGUUGUAAACCUCUUUCAGCAGGGACGAAGCGAAAGUGACGGUA
RNAcentral lists this ribosomal RNA (434 nucleotides) under uncultured bacterium. RNAcentral describes it as "bacterial SSU rRNA". It matches the Rfam family "Bacterial small subunit ribosomal RNA", at positions 28 to 477 of the family's 1533-position model. The record is from RNAcentral.